Molecule: ribosomal RNA, 253 nt
Filed under: uncultured bacterium
Lineage: Bacteria
Description: partial 16S ribosomal RNA
Rfam family: Bacterial small subunit ribosomal RNA
Source: RNAcentral
UACGUAGGUGGCAAGCGUUGUCCGGAUUUACUGGGCGUAAAGAGCGCGCAGGCGGUUGGGUAAGUCGAAUGUGAAAGCCCCCGGCUCAACUGGGGAGGGUCAUUCGAUACUGUCCGACUCGAAGGCAGGAGAGGGAAGCGGAAUUCCUGGUGUAGCGGUGGAAUGCGCAGAUAUCAGGAGGAACACCGAUGGCGAAGGCAGGUCAAUGGGCCGCAACUGACGCUGAGGAGCGAAAGCAUGGGGAGCGAACAGG